This 492-nucleotide ribosomal RNA is filed under the name uncultured bacterium. Its description in RNAcentral is "partial 16S ribosomal RNA". It matches the Rfam family "Bacterial small subunit ribosomal RNA", at positions 29 to 507 of the family's 1533-position model. The record is from RNAcentral.
AGUGAACGCUGGCGGUAGGCCUAACACAUGCAAGUCGAACGGCAGCACAGUAAGAGCUUGCUCUUACGGGUGGCGAGUGGCGGACGGGUGAGGAAUACAUCGGAAUCUUCUUUUUCGUGGGGGAUAACGUAGGGAAACUUACGCUAAUACCGCAUACGACCUACGGGUGAAAGCAGGGGAUCUUCGGACCUUGCGCGAUUGAAUGAGCCGAUGUCGGAUUAGCUAGUUGGCGGGGUAAAGGCCCACCUAGGCGACGAUCCGUAGCUGGUCUGAGAGGAUGAUCAGCCACACUGGAACUGAGACACGGUCCAGACUCCUACGGGAGGCAGCAGUGGGGAAUAUUGGACAAUGGGCGCAAGCCUGAUCCAGCCAUACCGCGUGGGUGAAGAAGGCCUUCGGGUUGUAAAGCCCUUUUGUUGGGAAAGAAAAGCAGCAGGUUAAUACCCCGCUGUUCUGACGGUACCCAAAGAAUAAGCACCGGCUAACUUCGUG